AGUGAACGCUGGCGGUAGGCCUAACACAUGCAAGUCGAACGGCAGCACAGUAAGAGCUUGCUCUUACGGGUGGCGAGUGGCGGACGGGUGAGGAAUACAUCGGAAUCUACUUUUUCGUGGGGGAUAACGUAGGGAAACUUACGCUAAUACCGCAUACGACCUACGGGUGAAAGCAGGGGAUCUUCGGACCUUGCGCGAUUGGAUGAGCCGAUGUCGGAUUAGCUAGUUGGCGGGGUAAAGGCCCACCAAGGCGACGAUCCGUAGCGGGUCUGAGAGGAGGAUCAGCCACACUGGAACUGAGACACGGUCCAGACUCCUACGGGAGGCAGCAGUGGGGAAUAUUGGACAAUGGGCGCAAGCCUGAUCCAGCCAUACCGCGUGGGUGAAGAAGGCCUUCGGGUUGUAAAGCCCUUUUGUUGGGAAAGAAAAGCAGCAGGUUAAUACCCCGCUGUUCUGACGGUACCCAAAGAAUAAGCACCGGCUAACUUCGUG
This 492-nucleotide ribosomal RNA is filed under the name uncultured bacterium. RNAcentral describes it as "partial 16S ribosomal RNA". It matches the Rfam family "Bacterial small subunit ribosomal RNA", at positions 29 to 507 of the family's 1533-position model. The record is from RNAcentral.